Molecule: long non-coding RNA, 520 nt
Filed under: Vigna radiata
Lineage: Eukaryota; Viridiplantae; Streptophyta; Magnoliopsida; Fabales; Fabaceae
Description: long non-coding RNA (VRAD_LNC006593)
Source: RNAcentral
GAAGUUUGUAGCCUUUUCUCUUGAUCAAACAUUUUUCUGCCCAGAAACUUGGUGGGAAAUUGAGUUUGGAUCUGGUUUCCAAUUUUUUCUUGAAACCGUUUCAAAUGGAGAUUAAGGUAAUGGUAUUUAAGUGGGGGAAAUGGUUGAGCUCUUUCUCCUCUCCUCUUCCCAAGUGUAGACCCAAACUCGAUCACAUUUGCUAUCAUGGUAGGAUCUUGUGGGACUUUCUGUCCUCCCACCAAUUUCAAAUCUUUCUUGGAUUAACACCCUAUCAGCAAAGUUUAGGGAAACACUGCUCACCAUGGUCUCAUAGAAGGGUGAUUGCAGAGUAUUUUAGGAAUGUGUCAACCAUCUUUCAUCACUAAUAAGAGACUUUCCUUGAGCAACACUCUUUCCACCUUUGGGCAUACUCUUUGAAUGAUUUUGACUCCUUUUUCAUCAUGCCCUGCAGUUGUAAUCUGUGAAGUGCCACACCCAUGUUAUAUUUGAAAUGUCUCAAGGAAGCAUCCAUCAGAUCCUC